UACGUAGGGUGCAAGCGUUGUCCGGAAUUAUUGGGCGUAAAGAGCUCGUAGGCGGUCUGUUGCGUCGGCUGUGAAAACCCGGGGCUCAACCCCGGGCCUGCAGCCGAUACGGGCAGACUAGAGUUCGGCAGGGGAGACUGGAAUUCCUGGUGUAGCGGUGAAAUGCGCAGAUAUCAGGAGGAACACCCGUGGCGAAAGCGGCUCUCUGGGACGGUACUGACGCUGAGACGCGAAAGCGUGGGGAGCAAACAGG
Molecule: ribosomal RNA, 253 nt
Filed under: uncultured bacterium
Lineage: Bacteria
Description: partial 16S ribosomal RNA
Rfam family: Bacterial small subunit ribosomal RNA
Source: RNAcentral